RNAcentral lists this ribosomal RNA (141 nucleotides) under uncultured eukaryote. RNAcentral's name for it is "partial 18S ribosomal RNA". It matches the Rfam family "Eukaryotic small subunit ribosomal RNA", at positions 1299 to 1458 of the family's 1831-position model. The record is from RNAcentral.
UGGUGGAGUGAUUUGUCUGGUUAAUUCCGUUAACGAACGAGACCUCAGCCUGCUAAAUAAUAGCAUCAAUGAUCUUCAUUGGUGGCUGUUUCUUUAGAGGGACAUGGAGUAUCAAACUCCAGGAAGAUUGAGGCAAUAACA